AUCCUUUGUGGUUCAUUAAGUGUGAUAAUUGGGUGUUUAUGCCAUUGUUGAGGUGUACCUCUCUUUAACUUUGGCACAUUACUCAUCUGACA
This is a non-coding RNA of Ictidomys tridecemlineatus (thirteen-lined ground squirrel), 92 nucleotides long. The record is from Rfam. NCBI's taxonomy places the organism in Eukaryota, Metazoa, Chordata, Mammalia, Rodentia, Sciuridae.